This 1209-nucleotide long non-coding RNA is filed under the name Zalophus californianus (California sea lion). RNAcentral's name for it is "lncRNA (ENSZCAG00015007359.1)". The record is from RNAcentral. Lineage: Eukaryota; Metazoa; Chordata; Mammalia; Carnivora; Otariidae.
CAAGAAAAGUGCCAGUGCACACAGUGAAUAACGGACUUGGACUGAGAACCCCGGGAUCGAGAUUCCAGAACCCGUGCUUUGAACACGGCAUCACACUGCCUCCCGCUCUGCUGUAUUGGGGAGUAGAUUUAAGGACACACCAGGACAGAGUUCAUCAGGAGAGACAAAGAGCAACAAAUUCUGUUGGACUUUGAUUUUUCCAGUAUGUGAGUUGAAUGCUGUGUGUGUGUACCUGUCCUUCCCUGACCCGCAAAGCAGGCACGUUUGUUUACAAACCGGGUUUUCUAGAACGCCCUCGAAGCUGGAGCAGACUGUGAGUGAGGGUGCUUCCUUGAGCCUGAGUGGCAGGCGCGGUUGUGCAGGAGUUGUACAGGAGUUCAGGAGUGUCUCUCAGCUGUUUUGUCUUACAGUGUGGAGAAUGGGAAGAGAGGAGAAAGUGCCGUGUGAAGAUGCUGGCUGAGACGCUUGGGAUGAUGGCAGCUUGUUAGUGUGCCCGAUAACCAUCAAGAACAGAGGGGGCUAUAAGUCACUUUACAAAGAGUCAAUCAAUUUGUGUUGGAAUAAUUAAAUUUACUUCUCUGAGGGGAGGAACCUGACUGUUCAGUUAUGUGAGCUCCAUUUCUUCCUCAGAUCAAGGAAAUUUGAGUUAAUUUGCAUCCUCCUGAGGAAGCUGCUUUGCUUCCACAUAAGGCUGUUUCCUGCGAUUCCUCCCAGGGCACUGGCCCCCAGCAGUCAGACUGCACAAGCCAGGAAGGUGUCCUGUUAGCAGUGCCCUCAGAUCUUUAUCCACGGGGAUCAGCAGUGGCUCCCACAGACUGUGGAAGGCCCCCCUCCAGGAGUGACAGUGUCUGGGAGAGUGAUGGUAGCCUCUUUUCUCCUUGGCCUUGGGGACCUCUGCCUGAGGCAGCUUCCUGUUUGCCCUGAGCCUUUGAUGGCAGUGGCCCAGCUGGGGUCACAUGCAGCCUGGGUUAAAUGAGACCACUUUCUACUGCCAACUGGACUCGGGGCUUUAAAAUUAAUUAUUAUUUUUUUUUAAAUCAUUAAACUUUAGAACUGAACUAUGGAAUGAAGCUGGGAUUUGAGUGUGAAAUGCAUUUGUGUCCCUGUGGCAUCUCUUCCUCCGAGUUAUGUGGACAUGGCAGGUCGGGGGGCGCCCAGUAAAUAUUUGUUGAAUGAAGUUGCAAUGUAUUCACCAAAAUUCUAGGAGGC